CGCCUCGAUUUGCUUUGCACCGACAGACUGGAACUCAACACGCAGCACACAGUUGUUUGUAAUAAGGGCUCACCAUGUCUAUUUCUUAUCUGUUUGGUUCAUUAUUGACAAUCCUGUUAAUUCAAGGCUGUUGGGGUGGAGAAGAAACCAAGAAUGUUAGUUGUGCAAGCCUCCGAACUGGAAAUGCUUACAAAUACUGUGUAAAGGACAAGGAAAAUCCUAAAUGUGUGGAGUGGCAAUCAGUGGAUUCCAAUAAGACGUCUAUGUGGCUUGCUGAACUUUGCCAACACAAAAACACUACACAUGCACCCAAUGUGAUUGAUGUCAGCUACUCCUGCAUCACCCUCCUGGAGUGUGUCAACGUAGACCACACUGCCAUAAGCAAUGUGACUGAGCAUUUGACCCAUUUCGUUGUGUUUGGUGCAUCAGGUGAGAUGUGUAUAUUGCUUUUCAAGUUUGAGGAGCCUCCUUGUUUAAUAGUUUUUUUCUAGU
RNAcentral lists this long non-coding RNA (492 nucleotides) under Salmo trutta (river trout). Its description in RNAcentral is "lncRNA (ENSSTUG00000002684.1)". The record is from RNAcentral. Lineage: Eukaryota; Metazoa; Chordata; Actinopteri; Salmoniformes; Salmonidae.